This 236-nucleotide ribosomal RNA is filed under the name uncultured bacterium. Its description in RNAcentral is "partial 16S ribosomal RNA". It matches the Rfam family "Bacterial small subunit ribosomal RNA", at positions 15 to 245 of the family's 1533-position model. The record is from RNAcentral.
GAUCCUGGCUCAGGACGAACGCUGGCGGCGUGCCUAACACAUGCAAGUCGAACGGACGAGGAGGAGCUUGCUUCUCCAAGUCAGUGGCGGACGGGUGAGUAACGCGUGAGUAACCUGCCCCUUCAGAGGGGGAUAACGUCUGGAAACGGACGCUAAUACCGCAUGACAUAUUUCCAUCGCAUGGUGGAGAUAUCAAAGGAGCAAUCCGCUGAAGGAUGGACUCGCGUCCGAUUAGA